GAAUGCGUAGAUUAUGGAAGACACCGGUGGCGAAGGCGGCUCUCUGGUCUGCAACUGACGCUGAGGCUCGAAAGCGUGGGUAGCAAACAGGAUUAGAUACCCUGGUAGUCCAUGCCGUAAACGAUGAGUGCUAAGUGUUGGAGGGUUUCCGCCCUUCAGUGCCGCAGCUAACGCAUUAAGCACUCCGCCUGGGGAGUACGACCGCAAGGUUGAAACUCAAAGGAAUUGACGGGGGCCCGCACAAGCGGUGGAGCAUGUGGUUUAAUUCGAAGCAACGCGAAGAACCUUACCAGGUCUUGACAUCCCUUGCCAACCCUAGAAAUAAGGUGUUCCCUUCGGGGACAAAGAGACAGGUGGUGCAUGGUUGUCGUCAGCUCGUGUCGUGAGAUGUUGGGUUAAGUCCCGCAACGAGCGCAACCCUUGUUAUUAGUUGCCAGCAUUAAGUUGGGCACUCUAGUGAGACUGCCGGUGACAAACCGGAGGAAGGUGGGGAUGACGUCAAAUCAUCAUGCCCCUUAUGCCCUGGGGGC
Molecule: ribosomal RNA, 530 nt
Filed under: uncultured Lactobacillales bacterium
Lineage: Bacteria; Bacillati; Bacillota; Bacilli; Lactobacillales
Description: bacterial SSU rRNA
Rfam family: Bacterial small subunit ribosomal RNA
Source: RNAcentral